RNAcentral lists this ribosomal RNA (253 nucleotides) under uncultured bacterium. RNAcentral describes it as "partial 16S ribosomal RNA". It matches the Rfam family "Bacterial small subunit ribosomal RNA", at positions 524 to 776 of the family's 1533-position model. The record is from RNAcentral.
CACGUAGGGUGCGAGCGUUGUCCGGAAUUAUUGGGCGUAAAGGGCUCGUAGGCGGUUUGUCGCGUCGGGAGUGAAAACAGCGGGCUUAACUCGUUGCUUGCUUCCGAUACGGGCAGACUAGAGGUAUGCAGGGGAGAAUGGAAUUCCUGGUGUAGCGGUGAAAUGCGCAGAUAUCAGGAGGAACACCGGUGGCGAAGGCGGUUCUCUGGGCAUUACCUGACGCUGAGGAGCGAAAGUGUGGGGAGCGAACAGG